GGGAAUAUUGCGCAAUGGGGGCAACCCUGACGCAGCCAUGCCGCGUGAAUGAAGAAGGCCUUCGGGUUGUAAAGUUCUUUCGGUAGCGAGGAAGGCAUUUAGUUUAAUAGACUAGGUGAUUGACGUUAACUACAGAAGAAGCACCGGCUAACUCCGUGCCAGCAGCCGCGGUAAUACGGAGGGUGCGAGCGUUAAUCGGAAUAACUGGGCGUAAAGGGCACGCAGGCGGUGACUUAAGUGAGGUGUGAAAGCCCCGGGCUUAACCUGGGAAUUGCAUUUCAUACUGGGUCGCUAGAGUACUUUAGGGAGGGGUAGAAUUCCACGUGUAGCAGUGAAAUGCGUAGAGAUGUGGAGGAAUACCGAAGGCGAAGGCAGCCCCUUGGGAAUGUACUGACGCUCAUGUGCGAAAGCGUGGGGAGCAAACAG
RNAcentral lists this ribosomal RNA (426 nucleotides) under uncultured bacterium. Its description in RNAcentral is "bacterial SSU rRNA". It matches the Rfam family "Bacterial small subunit ribosomal RNA", at positions 357 to 775 of the family's 1533-position model. The record is from RNAcentral.